This 488-nucleotide ribosomal RNA is filed under the name uncultured bacterium. Its description in RNAcentral is "bacterial SSU rRNA". It matches the Rfam family "Bacterial small subunit ribosomal RNA", at positions 30 to 507 of the family's 1533-position model. The record is from RNAcentral.
AUUGAACGCUGGCGGCAUGCCUAACACAUGCAAGUCGAACGGAAACGAUGGGAGCUUGCUCCCAGGCGUCGAGUGGCGGACGUGUGAGUAAUACUUAGGAAUCUGCCCAGUAGUGGGGGACAACUCGAGGAAACUCGAGCUAAUACCGCAUACGCCCUACGGGGGAAAGCGGGGGAUCUUCGGACCUCGCGCUAUUGGAUGAGCCUAAGUCGGAUUAGCUUGUUGGUGAGGUAAAGGCUCACCAAGGCGACGAUCCGUAGCUGGUCUGAGAGGACGAUCAGCCACACUGGGACUGAGACACGGCCCAGACUCCUACGGGAGGCAGCAGUGGGGAAUAUUGGACAAUGGGCGCAAGCCUGAUCCAGCAAUGCCGCGUGUGUGAAGAAGGCCUGCGGGUUGUAAAGCACUUUCAGUAGAGAAGAAAAGCCUAGGGUUAAUACCCCUGAGUCUUGACGUAACCUACAGAAGAAGCACCGGCUAACUCCGUG